This 253-nucleotide ribosomal RNA is filed under the name uncultured bacterium. RNAcentral describes it as "partial 16S ribosomal RNA". It matches the Rfam family "Bacterial small subunit ribosomal RNA", at positions 524 to 776 of the family's 1533-position model. The record is from RNAcentral.
UACGAAGGGGGCUAGCGUUGCUCGGAAUCACUGGGCGUAAAGGGUGCGUAGGCGGGUCUUUAAGUCCGGGGUGAAAUCCUGGAGCUCAACUCCAGAACUGCCUUUGAUACUGAAGAUCUUGAGUUCGGGAGAGGUGAGUGGAACUGCGAGUGUAGAGGUGAAAUUCGUAGAUAUUGGGAAGAACACCGGUGGCGAAGGCGGCUCACUGGCUCAUUACUGACGCUCAGGCGCGAUAGCGUGGGGAUCAAACAGG